UAUAGCUUGCUACAGAAAUAAUUAGUGGCAGACGGGUGAGUAAUGCAUAGGAAUCUGCCCAGUAGUAUGGGAUAGCCACUAGAAAUGGUGGGUAAUACUGUAUACGCCCUGCGGGGGAAAGAUUUAUCGCUACUGGAUGAGCCUAUGUUAGAUUAGCUAGUUGGUAGGGUAAAGGCCUACCAAGGCAGUGAUCUAUAGCUGGUCUGAGAGGAUGAUCAGCCACACUGGAACUGAGAUACGGUCCAGACUCCUACGGGAGGCAGCAGUGGGGAAUAUUGGACAAUGGGCGCAAGCCUGAUCCAGCUAUGCCGCGUGAGUGAGGAAGGCCUUAGGGUUGUAAAACUCUUUCAGCGGGGAAGAUAAUGACGGUACCCGCAGAAGAAGUCCCGGCAAACUCCGUGCCAGCAGCCGCGGUAAUACGGAGGGGGCAAGCGUUGUUCGGAAUUAUUGGGCG
RNAcentral lists this ribosomal RNA (454 nucleotides) under uncultured Anaplasma sp. RNAcentral's name for it is "bacterial SSU rRNA". It matches the Rfam family "Bacterial small subunit ribosomal RNA", at positions 74 to 560 of the family's 1533-position model. Lineage: Bacteria; Pseudomonadati; Pseudomonadota; Alphaproteobacteria; Rickettsiales; Anaplasmataceae. The record is from RNAcentral.